ACCGAACCUUAAUAGAGAGCAUAAGAACAAUUAACAUUAAUAAAAAAAUAUAUUGAUAACUGUGGCUGGGAACCCGGUAGGAGGGGCAUCUUUGAAUGGUCGAUCUUGCCCAUGUUCCAAUUCAGGAUCCAAACAUCGGGCAACUCAGAUAAAGUCAAGAGUAUUAAUCAGUUCCUGUGCUGCCACUGGACUGGCUAUAAGUAAAUGUGAGUUUCACUGGGAAUUGGAGUUGAAACAUAAUCUUCUUCUCCACUAAGGAAUUGCUUAUUGGAGAGAAGUUGCACCCUUUGGCUGCCACUUUUGUUGUU
Non-coding RNA from Pelobates cultripes (western spadefoot toad), 308 nucleotides. NCBI's taxonomy places the organism in Eukaryota, Metazoa, Chordata, Amphibia, Anura, Pelobatidae. The record is from the annotation of a GenBank genome assembly.